Molecule: non-coding RNA, 1291 nt
Organism: Peromyscus maniculatus bairdii (prairie deer mouse)
Lineage: Eukaryota; Metazoa; Chordata; Mammalia; Rodentia; Cricetidae
Source: RefSeq, a predicted model, not a curated record
AUAAGAGCUGAACCAGAACCCUAGCGCCAGGAGGAAGAACACUCCCAUCUGACUGAGGCCAGAAGUGGAUGUCAGAUUCCCUGCCACUGGAAUGAAAGAUGACUGUGAGCCCAGGAGAUCAUACUGCUUCCACUGUAGCAGUCAAGAGUCGUGGGAUGCAGUCGUGAGAACAGCCCAGGAACAGCUUACCUUGGCCAUACAGCCCUUCGCUCGGACAUGGUGAACGGGUAUCGGUAAUGCAGGCGUUACCACUACAUGUGAUUUCUUAAUCUUGCAAGUUGUUUGUUUUUAAUUUCCUGUUUACUUUGGUAAUAUUACAUCCUUCUAAGUUCUCUGAUGGAGUUAAAGACUAGAUGGUUAUAGUCUUCCUUUUGAACAAAUUCAGAAAAGACACUCAUAAAAGAGGUGUAAAGUGUAUAAGGUUGAGAGACAUAAAAAGAUAGUUUUGGGUUUGUAAUGCAAGUUAGGCUAGAAGGUGAAUUAGGUAGCAUACUUUGGACUCACCAAAAUAGGAUAGAUAAUGGAAGUGUAUUCUCUUAAUUUGUCAAAUGUUAAUGGACUAGACAUGGUGAAUGUAAUUAUUGCCUUAUAUAUUUAUAUAUAGUUAUUGUAUAUAGUUUCUGUGUUCAUCAAAACCUUCACUUUGUAUUUAGGCAAAAAGGGAGAAAUGUUGUGUGAUAUUUUGUUUGUGUUUAGACAAAUAAGCUUGCCUGGACAUCAGAGGGUAGAGUUUAGCCACUAGUUAACCACAGAAUCUUGGUGUGGGUAGCUCAUGCCUUUAAUCCCAGGCUUGGGAUUGCUCUUUAUUAUGGGCUCUCUUGUGUGUUUGAAGAUACCAGUGAUUGUUAGAGCCUUUUGUACAUGGAUCACUUUUAUAGUAUCUUUAUUCAUAUGAGUUUUUUUUCAUAUAAUUGAAGAAAACUAGAAGAACUCUGAGCUUUACCACACUGUUUUCAUUUAUAACAUUUUCCUUUGUGGUGAGUCACACUACAUUUGCAAAAUGAACCAGAACAAAUAGAAGAAUUUACACUCUUUUUGUAUUUAAAGGACUUUUCUGUGGUGUGAGUUUGUUGAUGUGUUUCCAAUGAGAUUUGAAAAGCAAUUUUUUGUAAACUUAUAUCACAUUCAGAAAGGCUAUUCAAAGUAGGGACUACUACAUGUCUUUUAAUUGUUCUUGGUAAGAGAGAGAUACAUUGCUUCUUUCUGAAAGACCCUAGCCCUUCAGGCUUACACCCCCAAGCCUCAGGAAAAGAGAAACUUCAAGCACCAGGAAAUGAGAAACUAAAAAUCU